Molecule: transfer RNA, 65 nt
Filed under: Mitjaevia shibingensis
Lineage: Eukaryota; Metazoa; Arthropoda; Insecta; Hemiptera; Cicadellidae
Description: tRNA-Val
Source: RNAcentral
CAGAAUUUAGCUUAUAAUUAAAGUUUUUUAGUUACAUUAAAAAGAAAAUUAAUAAUUUUUUCUGA